Molecule: non-coding RNA, 29 nt
Filed under: Homo sapiens (human)
Lineage: Eukaryota; Metazoa; Chordata; Mammalia; Primates; Hominidae
Source: RNAcentral
UGCUCUGCCUAAAGAGAGGUGCCCAGUGA